This 1390-nucleotide long non-coding RNA is filed under the name Lotus japonicus. Its description in RNAcentral is "long non-coding RNA (LJAP_LNC001970)". The record is from RNAcentral. Lineage: Eukaryota; Viridiplantae; Streptophyta; Magnoliopsida; Fabales; Fabaceae.
UACUAGACAACCUAUUUUACAUAUAACAAAAUUUUGGGAUACACAGCAAAUUAGUUAUCAUAACUUGCGAAGAAAUUCUCUACUAGGCAAGUGCGACAGCUGCUGCUUACUUGAUCAGAUAUUCCACUAUAAAUUUUUGCCUCUGUGCCUGAAAAACAGGUCAUUCCCUAAGUUUGCCAAUAAGAGUAUACAAGUAAAUAAGCUUGAUCAACUAAGAUGUAAAAACUACUUCAGUCAUCUUUUACUGUGAUUAAUUAGUCAAUCUGCUUGUCCAUCUUCCCAAGAUAUAUUUACAGCAUAUUAGGUGACAGCAUAUCAAAGUACAUAUUAUCAUGAGGAGUAAUAAUUUUAAUAGAUGGUUAUGACUACAUUUAAAUUAAACACACAACUAUUAAUUUUAAGACUUCAGAAAAUAAAAUAUAGUUUUUUUAACAACCCUAUUACCAGCUUUGAAACUUUACUGAAAAUCGGCAAUCCAUUUUCUGAACUCUGAAGUCCCACAGUUAACUGCAAGGGAUCAAAACUAGUUGUCAAUAAUGCCUAGAAUCACCAAGAGAGAAAUAAAUGUCCUAGAGAAACUUGAUUGCAUCAAGAUGGACAAAAGUGUAAAGCACAUUCAUCUCUUGGAAGAGGGGAGUGUAAUUUAAGCUUCUCUUAGUGGAUGGGAUUGUAAUCAGUUUUUCUCCAACUGCUUGUUUUCCCAUCACCGUCAUAGACUCAUAGCUCAAGUUGCUGGUUUAUUGAUCAAUUAAAGUUACUUCCUUUCUCAUUCAGGCUAGUUUUGUUAGUAGAAGCUCAUCACUGUUCCGGUGCUUAUCCGUGGUUGAGUGUGCAGUACUAUGGUUGAUUGGUUGCUUGUUCUAUGUGAAAAUGAGGUUUGUUGCUGUAUUUUGCUUGAUUAUCCAGUCUUCUCUGAAUGAUUCUAGCUUGCACUAUCAUAUUUUGUUGUCAUGGUUUGUUCUAUUAUGGUAUUAGUUGCACUAUCAUAGUUUGCUUAGAUUUUCUGAAUGUCUCUUCUACCACAUAUGAAGCAUAAGGUCAAGGUUACAUUACUCAUGAUCUUCAACAUGAGACUGAUGCAGACCAUAAUUGCUAGUUGAUAUCUAAGAAUUAUAAUCUUGUGAUAUAAACUAAAUCCAAAACCUAAGCAAAUAAAACCACAUUGCUCAUUGUUAUAUCCUCACCCAAUCUGAGGCAAUACAAUACACCCACCAUAAUUGAAGGAUAACCAACAGCAUUACCUCAAACGGAAGAUUAGUAAAAUCAGCGUUGAUGAGGAUCUGCACCGCCACGAUCCUUCAGAGUCUGUUGUUUCUGCUUCUCGACGAGCUUAUCGACAGCGGAUUGCACCGCCUCGUUGCCUCCGAUUAGCAAACGGGUCACCACUUCC